Molecule: long non-coding RNA, 1356 nt
Organism: Monomorium pharaonis (pharaoh ant)
Lineage: Eukaryota; Metazoa; Arthropoda; Insecta; Hymenoptera; Formicidae
Exons: 3
Source: RefSeq, a predicted model, not a curated record
UGUAAUAUGUACCCAGCAAACACCAAAUAUAAAUGCAAUAUAACGUGAGAGUAACAUGUAAUAUAACAGACGUUACACUCUAUUUAUAUUAUAGUUACGAAACUUUACUACAUAUAUGUGAUGUAACAAAGUUAUGAAGCUAUAAUAUUACUUCGUUAUUUGUAUGUUACAAUAACCGGACAGUGAUGUAACCACAAUGUUGCGUGGUUACACAACAAUUGUUUUACUUAUGUUAUAUGGAUAUUAUAAAAUUUGAAUCUUGUGAGACUCUAACCUCAAUCGCACAACGUACAUCUCGUGCAUUAGGCGCGCUUUCCCCUAGUGGAUGCUAUAAUGACGAAAGAGAGACGUUGUUUUCUUGCAACUUGACUUUAAUCAGGAUUCUGUCAAUUAUUCUUACAUCAUUCGGACAACUGUUCUUCUUAAAAUUUAAAAGAACGUAAAGAAUAACUGAAGUUUAUAAAAGCUGAAGAAAUUUUCACAAGGAUUAGAACAGAAAACUGAACUCAAAUGGAAGCGCACUCAUGUCACUAUCAUGUCCUGACAAUUUCGGAUUUUAUAAAACUAUAGGAGACGUGAUUGACGUUGAGAUUGUGAUUGACAGCUGGAGCAAAGCUAUAAUUUAGUUCAACAUUACGUGAAGUUUAUUUAAUGUUUUUCUCUUAUUUUCCCUCGUUUUUUAUGUUUUUAAAAAUUAUUUUUAAAAUAUAUUUACUAAUAAUCAUAAAGUAUAAUAUGUAUACAUUUGUUUAGAUAAGUUUAUUUUGUUGAUAAAUAUAUGUGUUAAAUAUAUUAAGAAGUUUAUUGAAAAGACUAUUUUUAAUGUUAUCUUUUUCCUUUAUAAUUAUAUCUAUCCUUUAUAAUUUUAGCACUUACAAUUUUCAGGAAGUCAAGUUCUUAAAUUAAUUUUACAUAAAACAACGAAAUUGCAUUCAAAAGUAUUUUUUGUUUUAUGUAAACUUAAUUUAAGUACUUAACCUCCUGGGAAUUAUGUGCUGAAAUAUAUACAUGUACAUAUAUAACAACACUGUAAUUAUUUUUUAUAACAGCAAUAUAAUAGUUUAUAUUGCCAUUACAAAACAUCUCGAUUAUAGUUAUAUAACAGUUCAGUUCUACGCUAUAUUUAUGUUAUGUAACUACAACAUCACAUGAGUAGGAAAUUAUAACUAACAGGAAUGUUACAUGUAACGUUCAUGUAAUAUUACCUGUUACAUUCCGUUUUAUUGCAGCAAUGUAAUGGUUAUAUAUUGGUGUUUGCUGGGUAAUAUAUAAUGUAAUAACAUAUAAUUUAAUGAAAAUGUGAUUUGUAAAGAAUUAAUUGUUUAUAUAUUAGAAUAAAUUACUUACACGGUUGAA